RNAcentral lists this ribosomal RNA (253 nucleotides) under uncultured bacterium. RNAcentral describes it as "partial 16S ribosomal RNA". It matches the Rfam family "Bacterial small subunit ribosomal RNA", at positions 524 to 776 of the family's 1533-position model. The record is from RNAcentral.
UACAGAGGUCCCAAGCGUUGUUCGGAUUCAUUGGGCGUAAAGGGUGCGUAGGCGGCGCGGUAAGUCGGGUGUGAAAUCCCCGGGCUCAACCUGGGAACUGCAUCCGAAACUGCCUUGCUAGAGUAUGGGAGAGGGAAGUGGAAUUUCCGGUGUAGCGGUGAAAUGCGUAGAUAUCGGAAGGAACAUCAGUGGCGAAGGCGACUUCCUGGACCAAUACUGACGCUCAGGUGCGAAAGCGUGGGGAGCAAACAGG